GAUGAACGCUGGCGGCGUGCCUAAUACAUGCAAGUCGAGCGAACGGACGAGAAGCUUGCUUCUCUGAUGUUAGCGGCGGACGGGUGAGUAACACGUGGAUAACCUACCUAUAAGACUGGGAUAACUUCGGGAAACCGGAGCUAAUACCGGAUAAUAUUUUGAACCGCAUGGUUCAAAAGUGAAAGACGGUCUUGCUGUCACUUAUAGAUGGAUCCGCGCUGCAUUAGCUAGUUGGUAAGGUAACGGCUUACCAAGGCAACGAUGCAUAGCCGACCUGAGAGGGUGAUCGGCCACACUGGAACUGAGACACGGUCCAGACUCCUACGGGAGGCAGCAGUAGGGAAUCUUCCGCAAUGGGCGAAAGCCUGACGGAGCCACGCCGCGUGAGUGAUGAAGGUCUUCGGAUCGUAAAACUCUGUUAUUAGGGAAGAACAUAUGUGUAAGUAACUGUGCACAUCUUGACGGUACCUAAUCAGAAAGCCACGGCUAACUACGU
Molecule: ribosomal RNA, 496 nt
Filed under: uncultured bacterium
Lineage: Bacteria
Description: partial 16S ribosomal RNA
Rfam family: Bacterial small subunit ribosomal RNA
Source: RNAcentral